UAGGGAAUCUUCCGCAAUGGACGCAAGUCUGACGGAGCAACGCCGCGUGUGUGAAGAAGGAUUUCGGUUCGUAAAACUCUGUUGUUAGAUAAGAACAGCGCAUAGAGUAACUGUUAUGCGUGUGACGGUAUCUAACCAGAAAGCCACGGCUAACUACGUGCCAGCAGCCGCGGUAAUACGUAGGUGGCAAGCGUUGUCCGGAUUUAUUGGGCGUAAAGCGAGCGCAGGCGGUCAAUUAAGUCUGAUGUGAAAGCCCCCGGAUCAACCGGGGAGGGUCAUUGGAAACUGGGUGAAUAGAGUGCAGAAGAGGGGAGUGGAAGUGCAUGUAUAGCGGAGAAAUGGGUAGAAAUAGGGAGGAAGACCAGUGGCGAAGGAGACUCUCUGGACUGUAACUGACGCUGAGGUUAGAAAGCGUGGGUAGCAAACAGG
This 429-nucleotide ribosomal RNA is filed under the name Bacteroidota bacterium. Its description in RNAcentral is "Bacteroidetes bacterium partial 16S ribosomal RNA". It matches the Rfam family "Bacterial small subunit ribosomal RNA", at positions 355 to 776 of the family's 1533-position model. Lineage: Bacteria; Pseudomonadati; Bacteroidota. The record is from RNAcentral.